Molecule: ribosomal RNA, 739 nt
Filed under: Bacillus spizizenii
Lineage: Bacteria; Bacillati; Bacillota; Bacilli; Caryophanales; Bacillaceae
Description: bacterial SSU rRNA
Rfam family: Bacterial small subunit ribosomal RNA
Source: RNAcentral
UGGCAGCUGGCUCCCUGGUGAGUAGCGGCGGACGGGUGAGUAACACGUGGGUAACCUGCCUGUAAGACUGGGAUAACUCCGGGAAACCGGGGCUAAUACCGGAUGCUUGUUUGAACCGCAUGGUUCAAACAUAAAAGGUGGCUUCGGCUACCACUUACAGAUGGACCCGCGGCGCAUUAGCUAGUUGGUGAGGUAAUGGCUCACCAAGGCAACGAUGCGUAGCCGACCUGAGAGGGUGAUCGGCCACACUGGGACUGAGACACGGCCCAGACUCCUACGGGAGGCAGCAGUAGGGAAUCUUCCGCAAUGGACGAAAGUCUGACGGAGCAACGCCGCGUGAGUGAUGAAGGUUUUCGGAUCGUAAAGCUCUGUUGUUAGGGAAGAACAAGUACCGUUCGAAUAGGGCGGUACCUUGACGGUACCUAACCAGAAAGCCACGGGUAACUACGUGCCAGCAGCCGCGGUAAUACGUAGGUGGCAAGCGUUGUCCGGAAUUAUUGGGCGUAAAGGGCUCGCAGGCGGUUUCUUAAGUCUGAUGUGAAAGCCCCCGGCUCAACCGGGGAGGGUCAUUGGAAACUGGGGAACUUGAGUGCAGAAGAGGAGAGUGGAAUUCCACGUGUAGCGGUGAAAUGCGUAGAGAUGUGGAGGAACACCAGUGGCGAAGGCGACUCUCUGGGUCUGUAACUGACGCUGAGGAGCGAAAGCGUGGGGGAGCCGAACAGGGAUUAGAUACCCCUGG